GAAAUGCGAUAAGUAAUGUGAAUUGCAGAAUUCAGUGAAUCAUCGAAUCUUUGAACGCACAUUGCGCCCGCCAUUAUUCUGGCGGGCAUGCCUGUUCGAGCGUCAUUUCAACCAUCAAGCCCCCGGGCUUGUGUUGGGGACCUGCGGCUGCCGCAGGCCCCGAAAACCAGUGGCGGGCUCGCUGUCACACCGGGCGUAGUAGAUUUUUCGUCUCGCCCAGGGCGUGCUGCGGGUUCCGGCCGUUAAAAAGCCUCUCUUUUUAACCCAAGGUUGACCUCGGAUCAGGUAGGAAGACCCGCUGAACUUAAGC
Molecule: unclassified non-coding RNA, 310 nt
Filed under: plant metagenome
Description: partial contains 5.8S ribosomal RNA, internal transcribed spacer 2, and large subunit ribosomal RNA
Rfam family: 5.8S ribosomal RNA (bases 1-105)
Source: RNAcentral